AGCAGCCGCGGUAAUUCCAGCUCCAAUAGCGUAUAUUAAAGUUGUUGCAGUUAAAAAGCUCGUAGUUGAAUUUCGGGAUCAAUGCGUCGGUCGUGCUUUCGGGUACGUACUGGUGUCAUUGGUUUCUCCUUUCUGACGAGCCGUGAUGUCAUUAAUUUGGUGUUACGGGUAGUUAGGACU
This 180-nucleotide unclassified non-coding RNA is filed under the name uncultured Archaeospora. RNAcentral describes it as "sequence contains 18S rRNA gene". It matches the Rfam family "Eukaryotic small subunit ribosomal RNA", at positions 569 to 750 of the family's 1831-position model. The record is from RNAcentral. Lineage: Eukaryota; Fungi; Glomeromycota; Glomeromycetes; Archaeosporales; Archaeosporaceae.